CAGUUCGGAUUGCAGGCUGCAACCCGCCUGUAUGAAGUUGGAAUCGCUAGUAAUCGCGGAUCAGCAUGCCGCGGUGAAUACGUUCCCGGGCCUUGUACACACCGCCCGUCACACCAUGAGAGUCGGGAACACCCGAAGUCCGUAGUCUAACCGCAAGGGGGACGCGGCCGAAGGUGGGUUCGAUAAUUGGGGUGAAGUCGUAACAAGGUACC
RNAcentral lists this ribosomal RNA (212 nucleotides) under uncultured bacterium. Its description in RNAcentral is "partial 16S ribosomal RNA". It matches the Rfam family "Bacterial small subunit ribosomal RNA", at positions 1289 to 1500 of the family's 1533-position model. The record is from RNAcentral.